GGGGGAUAUUGCACAAUGGGGGAAACCCUGAUGCAGCGACGCCGCGUGGAGGAAGAAGGUUUUCGGAUUGUAAACUCCUGUCGUUAGGGACGAUAAUGACGGUACCUAACAAGAAAGCACCGGCUAACUACGUGCCAGCAGCCGCGGUAAAACGUAGGGUGCAAGCGUUGUCCGGAAUUACUGGGUGUAAAGGGAGCGCAGGCGGACCGGCAAGUUGGAAGUGAAAACUAUGGGCUCAACCCAUAAAUUGCUUUCAAAACUGCUGGCCUUGAGUAGUGCAGAGGUAGGUGGAAUUCCCGGUGUAGCGGUGGAAUGCGUAGAUAUCGGGAGGAACACCAGUGGCGAAGGCGACCUACUGGGCACCAACUGACGCUGAGGCUCGAAAGCAUGGGUAGCAAACAGGAUUAGAUACCCUGGUAGUCCAUGCCGUAAACGAUGAUUACUAGGUGUUGGAGGAUUGACCCCUUCAGUGCCGUAGUUAACACAAUAAGUAAUCCACCUGGGGAGUACGACCGCAAGGUUGAAACUCAAAGGAAUUGACGGGGGCCCGCACAAGCAGUGGAGUAUGUGGUUUAAUUCGAAGCAACGCGAAGAACCUUACCAGGUCUUGACAUCCGAUGCAUAGUGCAGAGAUGCAUGAAGUCCUUCGGGACAUCGAGACAGGUGGUGCAUGGUUGUCGUCAGCUCGUGUCGUGAGAUGUUGGGUUAAGUCCCGCAACGAGCGCAACCCUUAUUGCCAGUUACUACGUAAGAGGACUCUGGCGAGACUGCCGUUGACAAAACGGAGGAAGGUGGGGAUGACGUCAAAUCAUCAUGCCCUUUAUGACCUGGGCUACACACGUACUACAAUGGCGUUUAACAAAGAGAAGCAAGACCGCGAGGUGGAGCAAAACUCAAAAACAACGUCUCAGUUCAGAUUGCAGGCUGCAACUCGCCUGCAUGAAGACGGAAUUGCUAGUAAUCGCAGAUCAGCAUGCUGCGGUGAAUACGUUCCCG
This 996-nucleotide ribosomal RNA is filed under the name uncultured bacterium. Its description in RNAcentral is "bacterial SSU rRNA". It matches the Rfam family "Bacterial small subunit ribosomal RNA", at positions 356 to 1376 of the family's 1533-position model. The record is from RNAcentral.